GCCCUCGUAGACCAACUGGCAGAGUCACAGGCCUCAAAAUCCUGGCAGUGUGGGUUCGAAUCCCACCGAGGGCACCA
RNAcentral lists this transfer RNA (77 nucleotides) under Acidobacteriota bacterium. RNAcentral describes it as "tRNA-Leu". It matches the Rfam family "tRNA". From Rfam's summary of the family: Transfer RNA (tRNA) molecules are approximately 80 nucleotides in length. Their secondary structure includes four short double-helical elements and three loops (D, anti-codon, and T loops). Further hydrogen bonds mediate the characteristic L-shaped molecular structure. tRNAs have two regions of fundamental functional importance: the anti-codon, which is responsible for specific mRNA codon recognition, and the 3' end, to which the tRNAs corresponding amino acid is attached (by aminoacyl-tRNA synthetases). tRNAs cope with the degeneracy of the genetic code in two manners: having more than one tRNA (with a specific anti-codon) for a particular amino acid; and 'wobble' base-pairing, i.e. permitting non-standard base-pairing at the 3rd anti-codon position. RNAcentral also lists the same sequence under 2 other names. The record is from RNAcentral. Lineage: Bacteria; Pseudomonadati; Acidobacteriota.